RNAcentral lists this ribosomal RNA (284 nucleotides) under uncultured bacterium. RNAcentral's name for it is "partial 16S ribosomal RNA". It matches the Rfam family "Bacterial small subunit ribosomal RNA", at positions 28 to 307 of the family's 1533-position model. The record is from RNAcentral.
GACGAACGCUGGCGGCGUGCUUAACACAUGCAAGUCGAGCGAGGCCCACCUUUCGGGGUGGUGUCCUAGCGGCGAACGGGUGAGUAACACGUGGGCAACCUGCCCUCAGCUCUGGGAUAAACUCCAAGAAAUUGGGGCUAAUACCGGAUAUGACUGCUGACCGCAUGGUCUGGUGGUGGAAAGAUUUAUCGGCUGGGGAUGGGCCCGCGGCCUAUCCAGCCUUGUUGGUGGGUAGNGGCCGUACCAAGGCGACGACGGGUAGCCGGCCGUGAGAGGGUGACCGG